RNAcentral lists this ribosomal RNA (254 nucleotides) under uncultured bacterium. RNAcentral describes it as "partial 16S ribosomal RNA". It matches the Rfam family "Bacterial small subunit ribosomal RNA", at positions 524 to 776 of the family's 1533-position model. The record is from RNAcentral.
CACGUAGGGGGCGAGUGUUGUCCGGAUUUAUUGGGCGUAAAGAGCUCGUAGGCGGUUUCGUAAGUCGGAUGUGAAAACUCCAGGCUCAACUUGGAGACGCCAUUCGAUACUGCGAUGACUUGAGUCUGGUAGGGGAGUGUGGAAUUCCUGGUGUAGCGGUGAAAUGCGCAGAUAUCAGGAGGAACACCGGCGGCGAAGGCGGCACUCUGGGCCGGUACUGACGCUGAGGAGCGAAAGCGUGGGUAGCAAACAGG